AAACAGAAAAAGCAACAAGCGAAAAGAGGGAUAAGCAAGAGACGACGACCACAACAUCUUUUUUCCCUCCUUUUUUUCCGACUGAGAAGGGGGACGGAGGAAAAGAAGAUGAAUAGAAUAGAGUGAGAAGAGGUA
This is a non-coding RNA of Caenorhabditis elegans, 135 nucleotides long. The record is from Ensembl. Lineage: Eukaryota; Metazoa; Nematoda; Chromadorea; Rhabditida; Rhabditidae.